GAUGAACGCUGGCGGCGUGCCUAAUACAUGCAAGUCGAGCGAACAGAUCAGGAGCUUGCUCCCUUGACUUUAGCGGCGGACGGGUUAGUCACACGUGGGUAACCUACCUAUAAGACUUGGAUACCUUCGGGGAACCAUAGCUACUACCGGAUAAUAUUUCGACCCGGAUUGUUCCAUCGUGAAAUAUGGUUUUUCUUUCGCUUAUAGAUGGACCCGCGCCGUAUUAGCUAGUUGGUAAGGUAACGGCUUACCAAGGCGACGAUACGUAGCCGACCUGAGAGGGUGAUCGGCCACACUGGAACAGAGACACGGUACAGACUCCUACGGGAGGCAGCAGUAGGGAAUCUUCCGCAAUGGGCGAAAGCCUGACGGAGCAAAGCCGCGUGAGUGAUGAAGGUCUUCGGAUGGUAAAACUCUGUUAUUAGGGAAGAACAUAAGUGUAAGUAACUGUGCACGUCUUGACGGUACCUAAACAGAAAGCCACGGCUAACUACGUG
Molecule: ribosomal RNA, 497 nt
Filed under: uncultured bacterium
Lineage: Bacteria
Description: partial 16S ribosomal RNA
Rfam family: Bacterial small subunit ribosomal RNA
Source: RNAcentral